AUUGAACGCUGGCGGCAGGCCUAACACAUGCAAGUCGAACGGUAACAGGAAGCAGCUUGCUGCUUUGCUGACGAGUGGCGGACGGGUGAGUAAUGUCUGGGAAACUGCCCGAUGGAGGGGGAUAACUACUGGAAACGGUAGCUAAUACCGCAUAACGUCGCAAGACCAAAGAGGGGGACCUUAGGGCCUCUUGCCAUCGGAUGUGCCCAGAUGGGAUUAGCUAGUAGGUGGGGUAACGGCUCACCUAGGCGACGAUCCCUAGCUGGUCUGAGAGGAUGACCAGCCACACUGGAAGUGAGACACGGUCCAGACGCCUACGGGAGGCAGCAGUGGGGAAUAGUGCACAAUGGGCGCAAGCCUGAUGCAGCCAUGCCGCGUGUAUGAAGAAGGCCUUCGGGUUGUAAAGUACUUUCAGCGGGGAGGAAGGGAGUAAAGUUAAUACCUUUGCUCAUUGACGUUACCCGCAGAAGAAGCACCGGCUAACUCCGUG
RNAcentral lists this ribosomal RNA (490 nucleotides) under uncultured bacterium. RNAcentral describes it as "partial 16S ribosomal RNA". It matches the Rfam family "Bacterial small subunit ribosomal RNA", at positions 30 to 507 of the family's 1533-position model. The record is from RNAcentral.